Molecule: long non-coding RNA, 1153 nt
Organism: Xiphophorus hellerii (green swordtail)
Lineage: Eukaryota; Metazoa; Chordata; Actinopteri; Cyprinodontiformes; Poeciliidae
Exons: 2
Source: RefSeq, a predicted model, not a curated record
UUACUUGUUUUUUUUAAAAAUCCUGGCCAUUUUUCAUUUUUGAAGCAUUAACGACUACGUUUCCCAGAAACCUUUUCGAGCACUGCGCCAAAUCAUCCAGCACGCGCUCCACCCACCGGCUCAGUCAGCGCGUGUCACUUCAACGACUCGCGUGAGCGAGGCGGCGGCAGUAGCAGCAUCACAGAAAGCAGCAGCUCCGCCGCAUUAGCGAACAGGUUGCCAGGUUUGGAAGGUGACUUGGCUCCGGAUCUCCAAUAUCCAUCAACUCUGAUGCCUUUGCUGACCUCCAUACAGCUGGUUCCAUCCUACCCUCACACAACUCUUUUGAAACCUGUGCACGAAGGGUUCCUGACAUGAAUCUUUUGGACUGGCCAGUGUGCAGGGAGAUGUCGGCACCUUGGAUGGAGCACUGGAGCACCAUUGGGCUGUUGACCGUUGGCUCUCUGUCACAUGUCAUUUUAACAUGGCCUUGACACUCUUUACAGAAGCCUUUGAUAUCAAUGUACUUACUAGUGACAGUUGGAUAAACUUUUGUUCUUUGCAAUACAAAUGUACAUGUGCUUUUCAACUUUUUCCAAACCAGAUCAUUAAUUAUGUGACUCCAAGUGCCAGGUUUUAAAAUUGUGUAUUCCCUUUUGCCAGAUGAUGAAAACUUGUCAUUGUAUUCAACUCUUUCUGGUAUAUAAAUUUAAUCCAUUCUUCAAAUGGAACUUCAAGCUGAAAAUCUGUAAAUUGAGCAAAUAAAGUUUUUGCAGAGUAAAACCGGAAGUGCACUGCAGCGUCAUUGGAUUUAGAACAAGAAGAAAUUUGUCUCAUUUCAAGAGAUGUUUUUAGAUAGUAAUGUUUUCUCACCAAUAUAACUUUCUCCACAAUAAUUGAAUCCUGUCAAUACAUAAUUUCAAAUCUUUUUUUUUUCCGCUUUGAGUUACCAUGACAGCUAGAAAAGACAAAGUGUUAUUUCACAAAAUAAAACCAUACUAUGAACAUUGCUUUCUUCCUAAUAUAAUGGGCUUUUAAGUUUUCAUGGAUUACCAAGGGAUCCUGAAGUAAGAAGACGGUCGCUUGUAAAUAUUUGUCGCUACCAGUUCAAGCUAACGCCGCACAGCAAAGUUUACAGCCUUCACUUCACUCCGGAUCAACUUCUUCAGCCUAA